AGAUUGAACGCUGGCGGCAUGCCUUACACAUGCAAGUCGAACGGCAGCACGGGAGCAAUCCUGGUGGCGAGUGGCGAACGGGUGAGUAAUACAUCGGAACGUGCCCAGUAGUGGGGGGUAACCCGGCGAAAGCCGGACUAAUACCGCAUACGACCUACGGGUGAAAGCGGGGGAUCGCAAGACCUGCGCUAUCGGAGCGGCGAUGUCAGAUUAGCUUGUUGGCGGGUAAAAGCCCACAAGGCGACGAUCUGUAGCUGGCUGAGAGGACGACCAGCCACACGUGGGACUGAGACACCGGGCCCAGGACCUCGUACGGGAGCAGGCGAGGUGGGUAAUUUGGACAGUGGC
RNAcentral lists this ribosomal RNA (348 nucleotides) under uncultured soil bacterium. RNAcentral describes it as "bacterial SSU rRNA". It matches the Rfam family "Bacterial small subunit ribosomal RNA", at positions 26 to 375 of the family's 1533-position model. The record is from RNAcentral.